Molecule: ribosomal RNA, 448 nt
Filed under: uncultured bacterium
Lineage: Bacteria
Description: bacterial SSU rRNA
Rfam family: Bacterial small subunit ribosomal RNA
Source: RNAcentral
CCCAGACUCCUACGGGAGGCAGCAGUGGGGGAUAUUGCACAAUGGGGGAAACCCUGAUGCAGCGACGCCGCGUGGGUGAAGAAGUAUUUCGGUAUGUAAAGCCCUAUCAGCAGGGAAGAAAGAAGACGGUACCUGACUAAGAAGCCCCGGCUAACUACGUGCCAGCAGCCGCGGUAAUACGUAGGGGGCGAGCGUUAUCCGGAUUCACUGGGUGUAAAGGGAGCGUAGACGGCCGUGUAAGCCAGGAGUGAAAGCCCGGGGCCCAACCCCGGGACUGCUCUUGGAACUGUGCGGCUGGAGUGCGGGAGGGGCAGGCGGAAUUCCUGGUGUGGCGGUGAAAUGCGUAGAUAUCAGGAGGAACACCGGCGGCGAAGGCGGCCUGCUGGACCGCGACUGACGUUGAGGCUCGAAAGCGUGGGGAGCGAACAGGAUUAGAUACCCUCGUAUG